Neopsephotus bourkii (Bourke's parrot) is the source of this 3024-nucleotide long non-coding RNA. RefSeq lists it as uncharacterized. NCBI's taxonomy places the organism in Eukaryota, Metazoa, Chordata, Aves, Psittaciformes, Psittacidae. The transcript has 2 exons. The record is from RefSeq and is a predicted model, not a curated record.
CUCUGCUGCUCGAGGAGCUCUCCGCUUUACGCAAGGAGUGCUAUUCUGAUUCAGAUAAACUGAAUUCAUUUGGUUCCCUGCUGAGCAGGCAGUAAAUUGCUUCUCUGGAGAAGUGACCGUGUCCUGGUUUAUGUGUCAUGCAUUUAUAUUCGUUAUUCAGUCAGUUCAGAGUCUGUCUUGGAAGAAGAUUUUAGGAGUAACUCAUGAGAAGAGAAACGCAAGUGGAAAUGAAGUGUUUCAUUCCAAGGUAUUUCUUCAUAACACAGGGUAUGUCCCAUGGUUUGCUGCAUAUCCCACCAGCCCAGUUCUAGGGAAGAACGGGAAGCUGUGUUCAGGAAAUCCAGCUGUAGGAUUCUGCUGUUUUCAGUAGCCCAUGGCCCGCAGCACGAUGAAAAAUGGCACAAUAAACUGCAGUGUGCUGUCCCGGAGGGAUUAACAAGGUUUAACAUCGUCCCAGCAAAAGGCUUGACGUGGACAAGAGUGAAGGUAAACCCCAUGAUCCUGACCCACACGCUCUGCGCUGGGGGAGGCAGCGAGAGGGAGCACAUCACCACUGUGACACUGGGGAGCACAGGUACCACAAAGCCCCAGCCCAGGCAGCUGCUGCAGGAGCCGGGAAGGGAAAUGGACCCUCUGGAAAAACAAGUGAAGGAGGGACAACCCAGAAGAAAUCCCACAGUGCGAUUCACCCCAUGGGAACCGCGGCCGAGUGCCCAAGCCUGGGGCUGCUGGGGAAGGCCAAGGUGAAGCUCCCGUCUGCACCGUUCCCUGGAUGUGCAGCAAUGAAGCUCCCCAGGGCACAGGAUGGUGAAGGAACUGCCCAGCCCUUGGAAGCACGAGGCAGGAAGGAAACCCAGAGCUCCCAACAGGUGCCUGCACCCCUCCCAAACCUUGUGUUGAGUUUACACAGCUAUGAAGAAAGUCCCUGGAUAUUGAAAUUCCACAGACUCUCCAGGCCUUGUACAUCCAUCAUCUGUUUCGAAGCGGACCCUGUGGAGAGCUGAGGGAGCUGAACUACAGACACGUAAGAAAAUGAGGUGCUCAGAGGAGCGACCUGUUCGUACCGAAGCAUUACAGCAUUUUAAGGCAAAGGUGAUGGAUUUUGAUACUGGUACCUGGCUGCUUUAUAAAGGUGAUUUAACAGAUUCCAAUUCUAUCGGAUAUAAAUACCAGUAUUGGGAUUAUGUGAUGAGCUGCAGUUUCACUUCUGCAUCUCAUGCUUAAAAUGUGUGUAUUUGGGGUUCUACUUAAGUACUUAAUGUCUUCAAAUACUUCAUUGGAAGACCUGCAGACAGCAGCUGAGGGAACCCCUGCAGGCUCAGGCAUCACUGUCCUCUCACUGGGAAUCCAGAGGAAAGCUCUGGGUCGGCAUCCGUCAGCCCCAGAGAGCUCAGGAUGGGAGCUGCUGCAGGCAGAUGGAGGGAUGGGGAUGGGGAACAGGGGGAGCGAGGGGGGUUGGAAGUGGCUUGGAGCCAUUUCAUUCCCCUUCACCCAGACCAUGCUGUCACACAUUGUGUAUGGGCAUCUAGGAGUUCCCUUCCAUUCUCCCAUAGUUACUUUCUUAACCAUGCUUUUUUGGAUUAAAAAGCUAUCUGCACAGGACGUGUAAAUAAGGGAUUGUGCUUGUGUAUAUGUUCAUAUUUAUAUGUAAAAAAUUGUGUACAUAGGAAAGAAAAGAAGAGGCUCAAAGAAUGUUUCCAAAACUGUUCCUUACAAAGGCAGAGACAGGAAAUGUGCAUAAACGUGCUCCUUAAUUUCAGCAUAGGGGUUUUGCUCUGUUUUCAGUCACUCUGCAUUUGCUCCCACUGGGCUUUUGUAGGAUGAGUCUGUACAAUGAGACUGUGACCGUGGCUGGAGCUGCUCUGCAGACGGGGCCACCCUUGGCCCCUGGGAUGAGCUGUGGCUGUGUCACAUUUCAUUUGUGUUUUCUUGCACUGGGUCUUGUGCGUCUUUCACAGACCGAGGUCCCAGAGCCACAGCACCAGAGGUGGAUGCUUACCUGAUGUGGGGCUCUUUCCUGCAGCCCCCCAUCCCUCGGUGCAGGUAAACAGCGGGGAGAGGAGGGGUGUGCAGCCACUCUCAGGCCAUCAAGGAGGCAGCAGCAAGUCCAGAGCUACCAACUGCUCCAGUUGUCCCCAUAAGCAUCUUUGCAAGCUCUCCAGUGCCCUUCAGAGCAACAAGACAGAGGACAGGUAAAGCAAGCGCAUCCUGGGGCAUCACUGGCACAGCACCACUGCUCCACUUCCCCUCAGGACUGUGAGGAAGGAGCGUGUCCGUGACCAGCCCAGGCCCACAGAGCUGCUGGAGGAGCAGGGAUGCAGGAGGGCAUGUGCUGCCCGGUCCCGCAGGCAAGCUAUGGACCGACACCCACUGGGACCACAGCACGUGGUUCAGGCCUGUUCCUACUCAAGCUGUCGGAGGACUGUGGCAUCACUUCAAGCCCCCUGCUCCAGUGCUAUCUGUAGCCUUCAGUGUAUCCCCGAGUGCCUUACACAGCUUGUGAACACAGCUCCUGACCUGAAGGGGAAAUGCACCGGGGGGCCCGGUGCUGGCUCCCACCACAUCCCCAGUGCUGCUGCUGUGGGGACCGGUUCGGUUUAGCCUCAGGAAACCGCGUUGUGAGUAAGUGUUGAACCCUGCAUCUCUGAUCGUUCUUUAGAGACAGGAACUGUCCUAAACUUAUGCAAAUUGUAAACCAGAGAAAACAUCCCCCCCCCCUGCCCCCCGCCAGGCCGGCUGCCGGGCUCCUGCUCCCCAACAGACCCAACAGCCGUGUUAACACCCACUGACGGUUGGACCCCAUGAUCUUAAAGGUCUUUUCCAACCCGGUUGAUUCUGUACCCCAAGUACGUGGUGUGUGCUCAGUGCUGAGGCAGCUGACAGGGCUGGAGCGAUCGAUUACAGAAUUUUACACAUAUUUUUGUAUCGUGAUUCAUAUGAUAUAUAUCGAGAGACUUUCUAUUCAUUUGUAAAAUACAUAAAUUAUUGUAAACUUUUAAUAAAAAGAGCUGUUUUAAACCUUCA